UCCUCAGUAGCUCAGCGGUGGAGCAACCGGCUGUUAACCGGUAGGCCGUCCGUUCGAACCGGACCCGGGGAGCCA
Molecule: transfer RNA, 75 nt
Filed under: bacterium
Lineage: Bacteria
Description: tRNA-Asn
Rfam family: tRNA
About the family: Transfer RNA (tRNA) molecules are approximately 80 nucleotides in length.
Source: RNAcentral